This 223-nucleotide ribosomal RNA is filed under the name Staphylococcus epidermidis. RNAcentral's name for it is "partial 23S ribosomal RNA". It matches the Rfam family "Bacterial large subunit ribosomal RNA", at positions 1652 to 1874 of the family's 2925-position model. Lineage: Bacteria; Bacillati; Bacillota; Bacilli; Caryophanales; Staphylococcaceae. The record is from RNAcentral.
AACCGACACAGGUAGUCAAGAUGAGAAUUCUAAGGUGAGCGAGCGAACUCUCGUUAAGGAACUCGGCAAAAUGACCCCGUAACUUCGGGAGAAGGGGUGCUCUUUAGGGUUCACGCCCAGAAGAGCCGCAGUGAAUAGGCCCAAGCGACUGUUUAUCAAAAACACAGGUCUCUGCUAAACCGUAAGGUGAUGUAUAGGGGCUGACGCCUGCCCGGUGCUGGAA